CUCAAAUCAGAGGAAGAAAAUGGAGGGAUGGACAGCGCACAUUUCCUGUCCUUUUUUUCGUAUGCCAAAAGACUGUGACGGCCGUGUACUGCCACGAGGAACAACGCCUUUCUGCAUGAUGUUCUGCAUUUGAUGGUCAGUUUGAAACGCCAUGUCUGUGAUGGAUGAUGUUUGACUUAAAGGAAAUGUACCGUUAUCGGACGCUGUGAUUCUCGUAGUUUAACUCUUGUACUUAAAGCUUGAACUGAUUAAUGUGUUUUAGGUUUUUGUGAACGUGUCUCCUUACAUUCUGGACUUUUUGAACGGAUCGGUCUUUAAAAUAAUUGUUUUUCUUUUAUAACAGUGAGAGCAUGAUGACUGGAUAUCCGCCUGCAUGCAUCGUCGUUGAACGUUUCCUGUCUGUGAAUCAACUCCCCAUGAAAUAAAAGCUGCUCGCUCUCAUGCU
Molecule: non-coding RNA, 445 nt
Organism: Labrus bergylta (ballan wrasse)
Lineage: Eukaryota; Metazoa; Chordata; Actinopteri; Labriformes; Labridae
Source: RefSeq, a predicted model, not a curated record